CAGAACAGUUCACAAUAUGACAACAUUGUAGUGGCGACAUCACAGAGACAGAAGGAGGAAGAAUGGCAACCCUUGGACUCCUGGGGAUGUGGGAGCUCCUUGACCACAUGUGGUACCUCUCUUUCCUGAUCCCAGAUUGAGAGCUGUACUAGCCUGGCAUGCAGACAGCAGCUUUAGAAUCAGAUCUGCCUUCUGGCGGCUUCCCACCUAGGAGCCAUGGGACCUUUGUGAAGUCACCAAUUGUGCUGUGGAUGCUUCAUUUGUGAAGGAGAACAGGACUGCCUUAUGAGGAAACUGAGGUACAGAUGGGAAACUUGCUCAAGUUCACACAGCAAUUAAGUGAUCAAGUCCAAGAGCAAAACCAGGCAGGCUGGCUCCAGAGCUCACGAUAGCCCACCACUGCUUUCCACCAUCACUACGGAAUCAAGUCCAUGAGGAUACUUACCUUAUGUCAGUUGCCUAAGUUGGAAAUUAUAGAAUCUUCAAAUUGGAAGGGACGUUAUCAUGCAAGAUUUCAACUUUCUACUCACUGCAAAAUCCCUUCUGG
Molecule: long non-coding RNA, 547 nt
Filed under: Pan troglodytes (chimpanzee)
Lineage: Eukaryota; Metazoa; Chordata; Mammalia; Primates; Hominidae
Description: long non-coding RNA NONPTRT013256
Source: RNAcentral